This 634-nucleotide small RNA is filed under the name Pongo abelii (Sumatran orangutan). Its description in RNAcentral is "processed transcript". The record is from RNAcentral. Lineage: Eukaryota; Metazoa; Chordata; Mammalia; Primates; Hominidae.
AUUCCGGGCACCAGGCUCCGGGCUCUUCAGAGCAUUUGGGGCGGGCGACGGAGGUCCGUCCACUCUCGCUUGGGUGCAGAAGGGCGCGGCGGUGCGGGGAAGCCGCCUUGGAGGCUCCAAGAUUAGCUCAAAUUCAGCGCGGCCAAGCGCAGGUGCGGGGGCGCUCGCCGCCGCCCUGCUUAUCUGGGGACAGUCCCGGAACCCGGGGACCCGGCUCCGCCCCAGCCCGCGCCCUCGCCCACAGGCAGCAGCGAGGCCUCUUCCCCGGCCCCGCCCCAGCCCGCGCCCUCGCCCACAGGCAGCAGCGAGGCCUCUUCCCCGGCCCCGGGAGCCCGUGUCGCGCCCUUCGCUCGCGCGUUCCAGUCCAGGCUACGAGCAGGUAGUGCCUCGGUGCACAACACCAUGCAGCUGAAGCCUGGCAAGCCCAAUGGCUGGAGGAUUCCCUUCAACAGCCAUGAGGGUGGCUGUGGGGCUGCCAUGCGGGCCAUGUGCAUUGGUCUCAGGUUCCCACACCAUAGCCAACUGGACACACUGAUCCAAGUGAGCAUCGAGAGUGGUCGGAUGACCCACCACCACCCAACAGGCUACCUGGGGGCCCUUGCGUCUGCUCUUUUUACAGCCUAUGCUGUGAAUG